Molecule: small nuclear RNA, 103 nt
Organism: Suncus etruscus (white-toothed pygmy shrew)
Lineage: Eukaryota; Metazoa; Chordata; Mammalia; Eulipotyphla; Soricidae
Source: RefSeq, a predicted model, not a curated record
GUCCUCACUUCGGCAGCACAUAUACUAAAAUUGGAACGAUACAGAGAAGAUUAGCAUGGCCAUGCGCAAGGAUGACACGCAAAUGAGAAUGUAUGAGGGAAAU